AUUGAACGCUGGCGGCAUGCUUUACACAUGCAAGUCGAACGGCAGCACGGGUGCUUGCACCUGGUGGCGAGUGGCGAACGGGUGAGUAAUGCAUCGGGACGUAUCCAAUAAUGGGGGAUAACGCAUCGAAAGGUGUGCUAAUACCGCAUACGCCCUGAGGGGGAAAGUGGGGGACCGUAAGGCCUAACGUUAAUGGAGCGGCCGAUGCCUGAUUAGCUAGUUGGUGAGGUAAAGGCUCACCAAGGCGACGAUCAGUAGCUGGUCUGAGAGGAUGAUCAGCCACACUGGGACUGAGACACGGCCCAGACUCCUACGGGAGGCAGCAGUGGGGAAUUUUGGACAAUGGGGGCAACCCUGAUCCGGCCAUGCCGCGUGAGUGAAGAAGGCCUUCGGGUUGUAAAGCACUUUAAGCGAGGAGGAAUGGCUGAGGGUUAAUAACCUUCAGCAGUGACGUUACUCGCAGAAUAAGCACCGGCUAACUCUGUGCCAGCAGCCGCCGUAA
This 502-nucleotide ribosomal RNA is filed under the name uncultured bacterium. RNAcentral's name for it is "partial 16S ribosomal RNA". It matches the Rfam family "Bacterial small subunit ribosomal RNA", at positions 30 to 523 of the family's 1533-position model. The record is from RNAcentral.